Zalophus californianus (California sea lion) is the source of this 346-nucleotide long non-coding RNA. RefSeq lists it as uncharacterized. NCBI's taxonomy places the organism in Eukaryota, Metazoa, Chordata, Mammalia, Carnivora, Otariidae. The transcript is spliced from 3 exons. The record is from RefSeq and is a predicted model, not a curated record.
UUUCUGCAAGUGUAGUAAUUGGCUUUCAUGAGCCAAUAGGAGCUGGCCCCAGCAUACCAUCAGCUCCCCUGGUAAUACCAUCGCACUACGACCCGGUGAAGAGCCGUGAUACGGCAUUGUCUAUGCCAAACUCUCAUUCGAGUGGACCCAAAAACUGGUGGUGACAUGCUAAACAAAAUUAUCUCCGCAGUUUCCUGCUAUUGAUUUUUUGGAGAACAAGCAAAGCAAUGUUGGUCAGAUAAGGUAUAUACACCCUGAAAUAGUACUCUGAAGGAGAAGAGGAAAGAAAUGUAACAUAAAUUCAAAAUAUACCAUAUGACAAAUGUUUUUUAAGUGCUAUCUCUUU